Herpailurus yagouaroundi (jaguarundi) is the source of this 1144-nucleotide long non-coding RNA. RefSeq lists it as uncharacterized. The transcript has 3 exons. The record is from RefSeq and is a predicted model, not a curated record. Lineage: Eukaryota; Metazoa; Chordata; Mammalia; Carnivora; Felidae.
AGAUGGGGGGCCCUCAGGGUCUUGCAUGGCAAGAAACUGCAGACUGGAAACACUGCUCCUCGUAUCUUAAGUAAAGGCUUUGCGAUGAUUGAUUAUUUUUCCUCUGAUAAAUACCUGGUUUUCAAAAGCAGUCUAAUUAGUAGGGAUCUCCAUUUUCCAAGUAUUCGAAAUGCAUUUGGCUGUCCUAUCAUUAAACCCAGACCCAGGAGACCAGCCGAGAUGUCUGAGCCCUUCCCACGUUCGAGGCAGAGAUACUCCUGCUCACCGAAUAUCCUCGAGUAACCCUGUAUUUCCCGCCCCGCUGCCAUUUGCCAGGGCCAGCCGACUGGUUCUGAGCAAUGGGCAGGGAGCACAAGGGACUUGUACAUGAUCCUGCAGAAACCCUAAAGGUCACGCGUGAAAGCCAUCACAAGAUGGAACUGAGUCACCACAAAGAGCACAGCUGCCCUUGACGGUCACCUGAUUCAUCGUGGCCUUUGUAUGAGCGAAAAACAAACUUCUGUGGUGUUAGCCUUCUGAAAUGAAACACUGGGAUUUUUUGUGACUGCAGAAAAGCCCAACUUAACCUAUCAAUACAACAGGACGCUGAAGAGGGCUCCUAUAAUCACCCCAUUUUGGAAGACCCCACUGCAAGCCUCUUAUCUUGAUGUGUUUGUAGCAGAUGGAGAGAAGAUGCUCUCUCCUCGGACCCCAAGGACUCCCCAGUUACGAAAUGCUCCAUCGGCAUUCACACGUGCAGUAAAUAAUCAUUGAGUGCCAACCACGUGCCAGGGCCCUUAUUGGCACUGGGGAUUGCGUGGUUAGCAAAACGGACUCCAUCUCGUCUUUGCCUACAGCUUUCAGUCCGUCGGAGGAGACUGCUGCUCGACAAAUAAGCAUGCCGAUGAGUGCAGAAUAACUAGCAGAGCAUCUCACAGCUCAGCCACUGGGUUCCAAGAGGCAGUGUCAUGUUUGCAAAUGCAGAAGAACGGCAGAUCUCAGGUCUGGAUUCCAUUGGUCAGAACAGAUCACAAGUCCAGCCCAGGUUCAAGAGGAAGUGACUCCACCUCCUGGUGGCAGGACUAGCAAAGGAUUUGCAGCCACCUUUAAUCCACCAGAAGGGAAAAAACAAAAGGAACCGGAGGAAGCUUUUGGAGGCAAUGGG